CACGGGGGGAGCAAGCGUUGUUCGGAAUCACUGGGCGUAAAGGGCGUGUAGGCGGUCAAGUAAGUGGAAUGUGAAAGCCCCCGGCUUACCCGGGGAUCUGCAUCCCAAACUGCUUGGCUUGAGUACGGGAGAGGAUAGGGGAAUUCCUGGUGUAGCAGUGAAAUGCGUAGAGAUCGUAAGGAAGACCAGUGGCGAAGGCGGGUCUCUGGACAGUUCCUGACACUGAGGCACGAAGGCCAGGGGAGCAAACGGG
RNAcentral lists this ribosomal RNA (253 nucleotides) under uncultured bacterium. Its description in RNAcentral is "partial 16S ribosomal RNA". It matches the Rfam family "Bacterial small subunit ribosomal RNA", at positions 524 to 776 of the family's 1533-position model. The record is from RNAcentral.